Molecule: ribosomal RNA, 212 nt
Filed under: uncultured bacterium
Lineage: Bacteria
Description: partial 16S ribosomal RNA
Rfam family: Bacterial small subunit ribosomal RNA
Source: RNAcentral
UGCGCAGGCGGCGGUUCGCGUGGAUAGAUGAAAUCUCCUGGCUUACCUGGGAGGAUGGUAUCCAGACGGGAUCGCUUGAGGGUCGGAGAGGGGCGUGGAAUUCCGGGUGGAGCGGUGAAAUGCGUAGAGAUCCGGAGGAACACCGACGGCGUAGGCAGCGCCCUGGACGACACCUGACGCUGAGGCACGAAAAGGCUGGGGAAGCAAAACCA